This 497-nucleotide ribosomal RNA is filed under the name uncultured bacterium. RNAcentral describes it as "partial 16S ribosomal RNA". It matches the Rfam family "Bacterial small subunit ribosomal RNA", at positions 28 to 507 of the family's 1533-position model. The record is from RNAcentral.
GAUGAACGCUGGCGGCGUGCCUAAUACAUGCAAGUCGAGCGAACAGACGAGGAGCUUGCUCCUCUGACGUUAGCGGCGGACGGGUGAGUAACACGUGGAUAACCUACCUAUAAGACUUGGAUAACUUCGGGAAACCGGAGCUAAUACCGGAUAACAUGUUGAACCGCAUGGUUCAACAGUUCAAGACGGUCUUGCUGUCACUUAUAGAUGGAUCCGCGCCGCAUUAGCUAGUUGGUAAGGUAACGGCUUACCAAGGCAACGAUGCGUAGCCGACCUGAGAGGGUGAUCGGCCACACUGGAACUGAGACACGGUCCAGACUCCUACGGGAGGCAGCAGUAGGGAAUCUUCCGCAAUGGGCGAAAGCCUGACGGAGCAACGCCGCGUGAGUGAAGAAGGUCUUCGGAUCGUAAAACUCUGUUAUUAGGGAAGAACAAAUGUGUAAGUAACUAUGCACGUCUUGACGGUACCUAAUCAGAAAGCCACGGCUAACUACGUG